UUGGAAGAUUUUAAUACUUCAACUUGUAUACUUGGAGAAUUUGAAGACUUCAACUUGUAUACUUGGAGAUUUUUGAAGACUUCAUUU
This is a non-coding RNA of Solanum tuberosum (potato), 87 nucleotides long. The record is from Rfam. NCBI's taxonomy places the organism in Eukaryota, Viridiplantae, Streptophyta, Magnoliopsida, Solanales, Solanaceae.